GAGUUUGAUCAUGGCUCAGAUUGAACGCUGGCGGAAUGCUUUACACAUGCAAGUCGAACGGCAGCACGGGUGCUUGCACCUGGUGGCGAGUGGCGAACGGGUGAGUAAUACAUAGGAACAUACCCAGUAAUGGGGGAUAACGCCGAGAAAUCGGUGCUAAUACCGCAUACGCCCUACGGGGGAAAGCGGGGGAUCUUCGGACCUCGCGUUAUUGGAUUGGCCUAUGUCUGGUUAGCUAGUUGGUGAGGUAAAGGCUCACCAAGGCUUCGAUCAGUAGCUGGUCUGAGAGGAUGAUCAGCCACACUGGAACUGAGACACGGUCCAGACUCCUACGGGAGGCAGCAGUGGGGAAUUUUGGACAAUGGGCGAAAGCCUGAUCCAGCCAUUCCGCGUGAGUGAAGAAGGCCUUCGGGUUGUAAAGCUCUUUCGGCAGGAACGAAAUGGUCACGGUUAAUAACUGUGACUUCUGACGGUACCUGAAGAAGAAGCACCGGCUAACUACGUGCCAGCAGCCGCGGUAAUACGUAGGGUGCGAGCGUUAAUCGGAAUUACUGGGCGUAAAGCGUGCGCAGGCGGUUUUGUAAGUCAGAUGUGAAAGCCCCGGGCUUAACCUGGGAAUGGCGUUUGAAACUACAAGGCUAGAGUGUGUC
This 650-nucleotide ribosomal RNA is filed under the name uncultured beta proteobacterium. Its description in RNAcentral is "bacterial SSU rRNA". It matches the Rfam family "Bacterial small subunit ribosomal RNA", at positions 9 to 652 of the family's 1533-position model. Lineage: Bacteria; Pseudomonadati; Pseudomonadota; Betaproteobacteria. The record is from RNAcentral.